ACAACCACCUGCUUCCCACAACUCCCACGUCUCAUCUCCCGCAAGAUCGCAACCCCCUCCUCCCCCAUUUCCUCUCUGCCGAGUAAAAUCCUUGCCGCCCCGCCCUGCCCCCACACCCCUUCUUCGUCGAUGGCAUGGUGCCUUGCCUUGCUGCCGUAGUUAGGGUCGCCGCUGUAGGACGAACCACAGCCCGCUGUGGUGUCGUCUCCCCUCCACCCUAUCCAUCUCCUCCACCCCUGACCGUAUGCUAGGGUUCAUCUCCCCACCUGCGCAGCUUGGCGUCGCAGACGCACCCCCAUCAGCCGCCACUCGGCGCACCAGCAGGCGCAAGCGCUGCCCCCGUCUCAGAUGCAGGGCACGUCGCCGCCGCAGUUGGCCACCCGCCUCUCCAGGGUGCGAACUAUGGCAGUCCGGCUACCCGACGCAAACACACGCUGGGGCCAGCAAGGUCAGCACGCUCUGGAUCGGGAACUUACAGUUUUGGAUGGACAAGAUCACAAGAACUACAUCUACAAUUGCUUCCCGAGCACCGUCAAGCUUACGGCAAUGAAGCGAUGGAGGCAUCGUCCCAUUGCCUGAUGAAGAAGAGGGGGGAAAGGAAGAUGGUGACGAGCCGGAGGAGAGUGGAUGUGGGCACUAUUAUUUCCUCUGUUGAGUUUUUUUACUGAAUUUUUUUGUUUAGACGACAAUAAAUCAAUUUUAGACUACAAAUCAAAAGGAGGAGGCAGGCAGGGGGAGGUAGUGGAGGAUAAUUCUUCUAUGGAAGCAGUCAUAUAUGACAGCCAUGGUAAGACCGUUAGAGAGGUUCGUUUCAAUUUGUUUAGCUAAUUAUCAGCGACUCUUGUUUGUUGUUCCAGUCUUGUGAUCCAAGUGGUUAAUAAUGUAUUACGUAGUGAUAGAAAUGCCAUGUACCUUUGGUGUGUAUGGGAAUCACAUACUAUGUUCGACACAAACUUAAAUGGCUUGUUUGCUUCUUGUUGUCAUACACAGUAAAAAAUGGGAAGUCACGUCUCUUACGAGUUAGGAAGCUCGACACACAUCAAGAAAUUAUAAGGCGAAGAAGGUGGUCAGAUGCCGAUCGAGACAAAUGGUUGAGAACUUGAGAUGUUCACCUGCCAUGACGAACUACUAGGUUGUGCUCGGUUCGUAAUAUAACGGAUUUUGCGUGCUAAUUAGCACUUUGCCUAAAUGUCUUUGGUGGUUAUGUCUAUGGAUUUGUGAGACAAACAUCAGGCAAAUGUUGAUACAUGAUAGUGGUGGAGUUUAUUA
Molecule: long non-coding RNA, 1269 nt
Organism: Triticum aestivum (bread wheat)
Lineage: Eukaryota; Viridiplantae; Streptophyta; Magnoliopsida; Poales; Poaceae
Exons: 2
Source: RefSeq, a predicted model, not a curated record